This 485-nucleotide ribosomal RNA is filed under the name uncultured bacterium. RNAcentral's name for it is "bacterial SSU rRNA". It matches the Rfam family "Bacterial small subunit ribosomal RNA", at positions 30 to 514 of the family's 1533-position model. The record is from RNAcentral.
AUUGAACGCUGGCGGAAUGCUUUACACAUGCAAGUCGAACGGUAGAGGGGGCAACCCCUCGAGAGUGGCGAACGGGUGAGUAAUAUAUCGGAACGUGCCCAGUCGUGGGGGAUAACGUAGCGAAAGUUACGCUAAUACCGCAUACGAUCUACGGAUGAAAGCGGGGGAUCGCAAGACCUCGCGCGAUUGGAGCGGCCGAUAUCAGAUUAGGUAGUUGGUGGGGUAAAGGCUCACCAAGCCAACGAUCUGUAGCUGGUCUGAGAGGACGACCAGCCACACUGGGACUGAGACACGGCCCAGACUCCUACGGGAGGCAGCAGUGGGGAAUUUUGGACAAUGGACGCAAGUCUGAUCCAGCAAUGCCGCGUGCAGGACGAAGGCCUUCGGGUUGUAAACUGCUUUGUACAGAACGAAAAGGACUCUAUUAAUACUAGGGCUCAUGACGGUACUGUAAGAAUAAGCACCGGCUAACUACGUGCCAGCAG